CAGGUGAUGUCCGAGAGGCUAGGAGCUCACUUUGGGAGUGAGAAAACGUUGGUUCGAUCCCAACUUACCUGA
This 72-nucleotide transfer RNA is filed under the name Sterigmatomyces sp. Its description in RNAcentral is "tRNA-Pro". It matches the Rfam family "tRNA". From Rfam's summary of the family: Transfer RNA (tRNA) molecules are approximately 80 nucleotides in length. Their secondary structure includes four short double-helical elements and three loops (D, anti-codon, and T loops). Lineage: Eukaryota; Fungi; Basidiomycota; Agaricostilbomycetes; Agaricostilbales; Agaricostilbaceae. The record is from RNAcentral.